This 528-nucleotide ribosomal RNA is filed under the name uncultured bacterium. RNAcentral's name for it is "bacterial SSU rRNA". It matches the Rfam family "Bacterial small subunit ribosomal RNA", at positions 8 to 524 of the family's 1533-position model. The record is from RNAcentral.
AGAGUUUGAUCCUGGCUCAGAUUGAACGCUGGCGGCAGGCCUAACACAUGCAAGUCGAACGGUAACAGGAAGAAGCUUGCUUCUUUGCUGACGAGUGGCGGACGGGUGAGUAAUGUCUGGGAAACUGCCUGAUGGAGGGGGAUAACUACUGGAAACGGUAGCUAAUACCGCAUAACGUCGCAAGACCAAAGAGGGGGACCUUCGGGCCUCUUGCCAUCGGAUGUGCCCAGAUGGGAUUAGCUAGUAGGUGGGGUAACGGCUCACCUAGGCGACGAUCCCUAGCUGGUCUGAGAGGAUGACCAGCCACACUGGAACUGAGACACGGUCCAGACUCCUACGGGAGGCAGCAGUGGGGAAUAUUGCACAAUGGGCGCAAGCCUGAUGCAGCCAUGCCGCGUGUAUGAAGAAGGCCUUCGGAUUGUAAAGUACUUUCAGCGGGGAGGAAGGGAGUAAAGUUAAUACCUUUGCUCAUUUGACGUUACCCGCAGAAAAAGCACCGGCUAACUCCGUGCCAGCAGCCGCGGUAAU